This 205-nucleotide microRNA precursor is filed under the name Oryza glumipatula. Its description in RNAcentral is "MIR812 microRNA precursor family". It matches the Rfam family "MIR812 microRNA precursor family". The record is from Rfam by way of RNAcentral. Lineage: Eukaryota; Viridiplantae; Streptophyta; Magnoliopsida; Poales; Poaceae.
AAAAAGGCAAACCCUGAGUUUCCGUGUCCAACUUUAACUGUCCGUCUUAUAUGAAAUUUUUUUAUAAUUCGUAUUUUCAUUGUUGUUAGAUGAUAAAACAUGAUUAAUAUUUUGUGCGUGACUUGUCUUUUUAAUUUUUUUCAUAAUUUUUUCAAAUAAGACGAACGGUCAAACGUUAGGCACGAAAACCAGGGUUUGUCUUUUU